This 87-nucleotide non-coding RNA is filed under the name Pseudomonas sp. URIL14HWK12:I10. RNAcentral also lists the same sequence under 3 other names. Lineage: Bacteria; Pseudomonadati; Pseudomonadota; Gammaproteobacteria; Pseudomonadales; Pseudomonadaceae. The record is from RNAcentral.
CUCUAUGGCGGCUGUGCUUGGGGCACCUUCGGGUGCGCCGGGUUCACACGUGACCGGUCCGUCAACCCAAGUACAGUUGCCACCCUU